This 93-nucleotide transfer RNA is filed under the name Serratia marcescens. Its description in RNAcentral is "tRNA-Glu". The record is from RNAcentral. Lineage: Bacteria; Pseudomonadati; Pseudomonadota; Gammaproteobacteria; Enterobacterales; Yersiniaceae.
CGCGCUGUUGGCCGAACGGCUGACGGCGGCCGGCAUUCAGCCGGGCGAUAUCGUCGCGGUGGCGUUGCCGCGUUCCGUGCGCCUCAGCCUGGC